AGUGAACGCUGGCGGUAGGCCUAACACAUGCAAGUCGAACGGCAGCACAGUAAGAGCUUGCUCUUACCGGUGGCGAGUGGCGGACGGGUCAGGAAUACAUCGGAAUCUACUUUUUCGUGGAGGAUCACGUAGGGAAACUUACGCCAAUAUCGCAUACGAUCUUCGGUUGUAAGCAGGGGAUCUUCGGACCUUGCGCGGUUGAAUGCGCCGAUGUCGGACUAGAUAGUUGGCGGGGUAAAUGCCCACCAAGGCGACGAUACGUAGCUGGACUGAGUGGAGGGUCGGCCACACUGGAAGUGAGACACGCACCAGACGACUACGGGAGGCAGCAGUGGGGUAUGUUGGACAGUAGGCGCAAGCCUGGUACAGCCGUAGCGCGUGUGUGAAGAAGGCGUUCGGGUUGUAAAGCCCUUUUGUUGGGAAAGAAAAGCAGCAGGUUAAGACCCCGCGGUUCUGACGGUACCCAAAGAAGAAGCACCGGCUAACUACGUG
RNAcentral lists this ribosomal RNA (492 nucleotides) under uncultured bacterium. RNAcentral's name for it is "partial 16S ribosomal RNA". It matches the Rfam family "Bacterial small subunit ribosomal RNA", at positions 29 to 507 of the family's 1533-position model. The record is from RNAcentral.